CAGCCGUAAAUUAUGCGCGUUAGGUGUAUCGGUGACCACGAGUUACCGAGGUGCCGAAGGGAAACCGUGAAACGUGCCGCCUGGGAAGUACGGUCGCAAGGCUGAAACUUAAAGGAAUUGGCGGGGGGAGCACCACAACAGGUGGAGCCUGCGGUUUAAUUGGACUCAACGCCGGGAAGCUCACCGGAUAGGACAGCAGAAUGAUUGCCGGGCUGAAGACCCUGCAUGACUAGCUGAGAGGUGGUGCAUGGCGUAGACGUCU
Molecule: ribosomal RNA, 262 nt
Filed under: uncultured archaeon
Lineage: Archaea
Description: partial 16S ribosomal RNA
Rfam family: Archaeal small subunit ribosomal RNA
Source: RNAcentral